UCAAAGGAAUUGACGGGGGCCCGCACAAGCGGUGGAGCAUGUGGUUUAAUUCGAAGCAACGCGAAGAACCUUACCAGGUCUUGACAUCCCAUUGAUUGGAGCUUAAUCGUUCCUUUCCUUCGGGACAAUGGAGACAGGUGGUGCAUGGUUGUCGUCAGCUCGUGUCGUGAGAUGUUGGGUUAAGUCCCGCAACGAGCGCAACCCUUAUCUUUAGUAGCCAGCACGUAAUGGUGGGGACUCUAGAGAGACUGCCGGGGACAACUCGGAGGAAGGUGGGGAUGACGUCAAAUCAUCAUGCCCCUUAUGACCUGGGCUACACACGUGCUACAAUGGCGGUUACAAAGGGAAGCUAAGGAGUGAUCUGGAGCAAACCCCAAAAAAACCGUCCCAGUUCGGAUUGUAGUCUGCAACUCGACUACAUGAAGUUGGAAUCGCUAGUAAUCGCGGAUCAGAAUGUCGCGGUGAAUACGUUCCCGGGCCUUGUACACACCGCCCGUCACACCAUGGAAGUCGGAGGCGCCCGAAGCCGGUGACCAAACCGUAAGGAUGGAGCCGUCGAAGGUGAAAUCGAUGACUAGGGUGAAGUCGUAACAAGGUAACCGU
RNAcentral lists this ribosomal RNA (603 nucleotides) under uncultured Bacillota bacterium. RNAcentral describes it as "bacterial SSU rRNA". It matches the Rfam family "Bacterial small subunit ribosomal RNA", at positions 901 to 1503 of the family's 1533-position model. The record is from RNAcentral. Lineage: Bacteria; Bacillati; Bacillota.